Molecule: unclassified non-coding RNA, 366 nt
Filed under: Hevea brasiliensis (rubber tree)
Lineage: Eukaryota; Viridiplantae; Streptophyta; Magnoliopsida; Malpighiales; Euphorbiaceae
Source: RNAcentral
UUUGUCGUUUUGUCGUUGCUCUUGGAGCUGCGGUUUAGAAAAUUUACUUUAAAAAUAAUUUAAAAUUAAAUUAAAUUAGUUUUUAAUUUUUUUUAAACUGUUUUUUUUAAUCAUAUCUAAAAUAAUUUUUUUUCUCUGAAAAACAGUUAGAGUGCUGCUUUUGGCCUGGUGAGAUUUUUUAAGUAGAUUUUGUCUACUAUGUUAUCUAUAGACUAAGCCAAUUAAAUUAGUCCAUAUCAUUCAACUUAUGAUUAUAUUUUUAUAAAGUGAUUUAAUUGAUUUAGUCUAUGAAUGUUGCUGACUUAGAAGCAUUAGAUAUUUCUGAGGAUUUAACCCAAAGUUGUUUAGAGUGGAGAAAGCGAAUCC